RNAcentral lists this ribosomal RNA (881 nucleotides) under uncultured euryarchaeote. RNAcentral's name for it is "bacterial SSU rRNA". It matches the Rfam family "Archaeal small subunit ribosomal RNA", at positions 22 to 903 of the family's 1478-position model. Lineage: Archaea; Methanobacteriati; Methanobacteriota. The record is from RNAcentral.
GGCCACUGCUAUCGGGCUCCGACUAAGCCAUGCGAGUCAAGGGGCUCCUUCGGGAGCACCGGCGGACGGCUCAGUAACACGUGGGCAACCUACCCUCGGGUGGGGGAUAACCUCGGGAAACUGAGGCUAAUACCCCAUAGGCCUCGGAUACUGGAAGGUUCCGAGGCUGAAAGCUCCGGCGCCCGAGGAUGGGCCUGCGGCCUAUCAGGUAGUUGGUGGUGUAAAGGACCACCAAGCCUGCGACGGGUACGGGCCCUGAGAGGGGGAGCCCGGAGAUGGACUCUGAGACACGAGUCCAGGCCCUACGGGGCGCAGCAGGCGCGAAACCUUCGCAAUGCGCGAAAGCGCGACGAGGGGAGCCCGAGUGCCCUUCCUUUUGGGAGGGCUUUUCCGGAGUCUAAAAAGCUCCGGGAAUAAGGGCUGGGCAAGACGGGUGCCAGCCGCCGCGGUAAUACCCGCAGCUCGAGUGGUGGCCACUAUUAUUGAGCCUAAAGCGUCCGUAGCCGGACCCGUAAAUCCCUGGGUAAAUCCUGGCGCUCAACGUCAGGAAUUCCGGGGAGACUGCGGGUCUUGGGACCGGGAGAGGCCGGAGGUACUCCCGGGGUAGGGGUAAAAUCCUGUAAUCCCGGGGGGACCACCUGUGGCGAAAGCGUCCGGCUUGAACGGCUCCGACGGUGAGGGACGAAGGCCAGGGGAGCAAACCGGAUUAGAUACCCGGGUAGUCCUGGCUGUAAACGCUGCCCGCUUGGUGUUGUCGGUCUCUCGGGGGCCGGCAGUGCCGGAGCGAAGGUGUUAGGCGGGCCGCUUGGGGAGUACGGCCGCAAGGCUGAAACUUAAAGGAAUUGGCGGGAGAGCACUGCAACGGGAGGAGCGUGCGGUUU